GACGAACGCUGGCGGCGUGCUUAACACAUGCAAGUCGAACGGAAAGGCCCUGCUUUUGUGGGGUGCUCGAGUGGCGAACGGGUGAGUAACACGUGAGUAACCUGCCCUUGACUUUGGGAUAACUUCAGGAAACUGGGGCUAAUACCGGAUAGGAGCUCCUGCUGCAUGGUGGGGGUUGGAAAGGUUCGGCGGUUGGGGAUGGACUCGCGGCUUAUCAGCUUGUUGGUGGGGUAGUGGCUUACCAAGGCUUUGACGGGUAGCCGGCCUGAGAGGGUGACCGGCCACAUUGGGACUGAGAUACGGCCCAGACUCCUACGGGAGGCAGCAGUGGGGAAUAUUGCACAAUGGGCGGAAGCCUGAUGCAGCAACGCCGCGUGCGGGAUGACGGCCUUCGGGUUGUAAACCGCUUUCGCCUGUGACGAAGCGUGAGUGACGGUAAUGGGUCAAGAAGCACCGGCUAACUACGAG
This 468-nucleotide ribosomal RNA is filed under the name uncultured bacterium. Its description in RNAcentral is "partial 16S ribosomal RNA". It matches the Rfam family "Bacterial small subunit ribosomal RNA", at positions 28 to 507 of the family's 1533-position model. The record is from RNAcentral.